Cuculus canorus (common cuckoo) is the source of this 525-nucleotide long non-coding RNA. RefSeq lists it as uncharacterized. The transcript is spliced from 4 exons. Lineage: Eukaryota; Metazoa; Chordata; Aves; Cuculiformes; Cuculidae. The record is from RefSeq and is a predicted model, not a curated record.
CGGCGCGGCGCUGUGACGUCAUUUUGGCAGCGACGCGGAUGGAGGCGGCGGGAGGAGGCGGGGGCGCCCCCCGGUUCCUCGGGCCCGGCGGGAAGCGGCGAAGAGCGGCGGGAGAGGGGGAGCCCCCCCCCAAGCAGGCGCUGCCGGAGGCGAUGGCGGCCGCGCGGCUCCGGGCGUUCGGAGCACAACACGACCACCGCUACAGCGGCAACGGCUUCCCGAGGCCUCCCCUCCUCUGACGUCACUCUCCAGGCCCCGCCCCCUCCCUCAGGCCCCGCCCCCUCCCUCAGACCCCGCCCCCUCCCUCAAGCCCCGCCCCCUCGGCUGUGUUGGGGGUCCCUCUGAGCCCCCCAAUAAACCCCAACUGCCCACAACGGCCUCAGCGUCAACUUGGGGGGCUUUGGGGGGGCCCCGAACCCCCUCUUCUGACCCCCAACUCCCUCCAAACCCCCCCUUAAAAACCAAGGGGGGGCGGGGCUGCACUUUUGGGGUCCCCCCACCCCAUUUUUGGGGUCCCCUCCUCCC